AGCGAACGUUUGCGGCGGGCCUAACACAUGCAAGUCGAACGCACUAGCAAUAGUGAGUGGCGCACGGGUGCGUAACACGUGGGUAAUCAACCCUUCAGCUUGGGAUAACGACUUGAAAGGGUCGCUAAUACCGGAUACGGCGCGGGAGGCUUCGGCUUCUCACGAGAAAGCCUCGCAAGGGGCACCGAAGGACGAGCCUGCGGCCCAUCAGCUAGUUGGUGAGGUAAGAGCUCACCAAGGCUAAGACGGGUAGCUGGUCUGAGAGGAUGAUCAGCCACACUGGAACUGAGACACGGUCCAGACUCCUACGGGAGGCAGCAGUGGGGAAUAUUGCGCAAUGGGCGAAAGCCUGACGCAGCCACGCCGCGUGAGCGAUGAAGGCCU
RNAcentral lists this ribosomal RNA (384 nucleotides) under uncultured bacterium. RNAcentral's name for it is "bacterial SSU rRNA". It matches the Rfam family "Bacterial small subunit ribosomal RNA", at positions 29 to 417 of the family's 1533-position model. The record is from RNAcentral.